This is a long non-coding RNA of Anguilla rostrata (American eel), 608 nucleotides long. RefSeq lists it as uncharacterized. NCBI's taxonomy places the organism in Eukaryota, Metazoa, Chordata, Actinopteri, Anguilliformes, Anguillidae. The transcript is spliced from 3 exons. The record is from RefSeq and is a predicted model, not a curated record.
UUUAGCCAUCGUGCACACAUUUACGUAUUUAACUAAAAUAAUCUCUAUUUCAUGGCAGCUUUGUGAUUUAAAUUAUCACACUUCACAUAUGGAAAAGUGUCUGCCUCUAUACAAACUUCAGGCCAUGCAUGCACAAAACUAGUGGAUAAAAAGCCAUAAUGGAAAACUGGAUUAUGCCUCAGCAAUCCAAACUCUCAGAUGAAUCAAAGUUGGACAAGCUCUCUCUGACCAAUCAGCAGAGGUGGACCGGAGCACAAGUCUCCAAGACAACUCAACAGAGUAGGACUCAUCAGAACCUCUCAGCAGACCAACGGACCAAUUAGCAGAAACAGACUAUAGCAGAAGCUUAUCUGACCAAUCAGCAGAGAUGGACAACAGCUGAAGCCUCUCUCCCCUGAGAACCUUGGAGCAGAAGCUUGCUACCUUGCCAUUGGUUGCACCUCGGCCCCCCUCCCAGACUGCGAUUGAGGUUGUGAAGAGGUGCAGGGGAAGCUUGGUGGCUAGGCUAUGGGGGUUGGCUGCAGCCCCGGGGCAGACAACUAGUAGGAGCAGUGCAAGAGCUGUGAAGGGACAGGUGACGUGGAAUGAGGUAAAGUGUGGGGAAUAGG